AUUGAACGCUGGCGGCAUGCCUUACACAUGCAAGUCGAACGGUAACAGGUCUUCGGAUGCUGACGAGUGGCGAACGGGUGAGUAAUACAUCGGAACGUGCCUAGUAGUGGGGGAUAACUACUCGAAAGAGUGGCUAAUACCGCAUGAGAUCUACGGAUGAAAGCGGGGGAUCGCAAGACCUUGUGCUACUAGAGCGGCCGAUGGCAGAUUAGGUAGUUGGUGGGAUAAAAGCUUACCAAGCCGACGAUCUGUAGCUGGUCUGAGAGGACGAUCAGCCACACUGGGACUGAGACACGGCCCAGACUCCUACGGGAGGCAGCAGUGGGGAAUUUUGGACAGUGGGCGAAAGCCUGAUCCAGCAAUGCCGCGUGCAGGAUGAAGGCCUUCGGGUUGUAAACUGCUUUUGUACGGAACGAAAAGCCCCGGGUUAAUGCCCUGGGGUCAUGACGGUACCGUAAGAAUAAGCACCGGCUAACUACGUGCCAGCCGCCGCCGUAA
RNAcentral lists this ribosomal RNA (498 nucleotides) under uncultured bacterium. RNAcentral's name for it is "partial 16S ribosomal RNA". It matches the Rfam family "Bacterial small subunit ribosomal RNA", at positions 30 to 523 of the family's 1533-position model. The record is from RNAcentral.